AGACUUUGAUCAUGGCUCAGAUUGAACGCUGGCGGCAGGCCUAACACAUGCAAGUCGAGCGGCAGCGGGUCCUUCGGGAUGCCGGCGAGCGGCGGACGGGUGAGUAAUGCCUAGGAAUCUGCCUGGUAGUGGGGGAUAACUCGGGGAAACUCGAGCUAAUACCGCAUACGUCCUACGGGAGAAAGCGGGGGAUCUUCGGACCUCGCGCUACCAGAUGAGCCUAGGUCGGAUUAGCUAGUUGGUGAGGUAAAGGCUCACCAAGGCGACGAUCCGUAGCUGGUCUGAGAGGAUGAUCAGCCACACUGGAACUGAGACACGGUCCAGACUCCUACGGGAGGCAGCAGUGGGGAAUAUUGGACAAUGGGCGAAAGCCUGAUCCAGCCAUGCCGCGUGUGUGAAGAAGGUCUUCGGAUUGUAAAGCACUUUAAGUUGGGAGGAAGGGCAGUAAGUUAAUACCUUGCUGUUUUGACGUUACCGACAGAAUAAUGCACCGGCUAACUUCGUGCCAGCAGCCGCGGUAAUACGAAGGGUGCAAGCGUUAAUCGGAAUUACUGGGCGUAAAGCGCGCGUAGGUGGUUUGAUAAGUUGGAUGUGAAAGCCCCGGGCUCAAACCUGGGAAUUGCUAUCCAAAACUGUCUGACUAGAGUAUGGCAGAGGGUGGUUGGAAUUUCCUGUGUAAGCGGUGAAAUGCGUAGAUAUAGGAAGGAACACCAGUGGCGAAGUGCGAACUGCU
This 733-nucleotide ribosomal RNA is filed under the name uncultured bacterium. RNAcentral describes it as "bacterial SSU rRNA". It matches the Rfam family "Bacterial small subunit ribosomal RNA", at positions 8 to 730 of the family's 1533-position model. The record is from RNAcentral.